This 236-nucleotide ribosomal RNA is filed under the name uncultured bacterium. Its description in RNAcentral is "partial 16S ribosomal RNA". It matches the Rfam family "Bacterial small subunit ribosomal RNA", at positions 1267 to 1500 of the family's 1533-position model. The record is from RNAcentral.
GCGGAUCUCUUAAAGCCGUUCUCAGUUCGGACUGUAGGCUGCAACUCGCCUACACGAAGCUGGAAUCGCUAGUAAUCGCGGAUCAGCACGCCGCGGUGAAUACGUUCCCGGGCCUUGUACACACCGCCCGUCACACCAUGAGAGUCUGUAACACCCAAAGCCGGUGGGAUAACCUUUAUAGGAGUCAGCCGUCUAAGGUAGGACAGAUGAUUAGGGUGAAGUCGUAACAAGGUAAC